GCUUAACACAUGCAAGUCGAGGGGCAGCAUCAUCAAAGCUUGCCUUGAUGGAUGGCGACCGGCGCACGGGUGAGUAACACGUAUCCAACCUGCCGACAACACUGGGAUAGCCUUUCGAAAGAAAGAUUAAUACCGGAUGGUAUAGUUUUCCCGCAUGGGAUAAUUAUUAAAGAAUUUCGGUUGUCGAUGGGGAUGCGUUCCAUUAGGCAGUUGGCGGGGUAACGGCCCACCAAACCAACGAUGGAUAGGGGUUCUGAGAGGAAGGUCCCCCACAUUGGAACUGAGACACGGUCCAAACUCCUACGGGAGGCAGCAGUGAGGAAUAUUGGUCAAUGGACGAGAGUCUGAACCAGCCAAGUAGCGUGAAGGAUGACUGCCCUAUGGGUUGUAAACUUCUUUUAUACGGGAAUAAAGUGGGCCACGUGUGGCUUUUUGUAUGUACCGUAUGAAUAAGGAUCGGCUAACUCCGUGCCAGCAGCCGCGGUAAUACGGAGGAUCCGAGCGUUAUCCGGAUUUAUUGGGUUUAAAGGGAGCGUAGGCGGGUUGUUAAGUCAGUUGUGAAAGUUUGCGGCUCAACCGUAAAAUUGCAGUUGAUACUGGCGACCUUGAGUGCAACAGAGGUAGGCGGAAUUCGUGGUGUAGCGGUGAAAUGCUUAGAUAUCACGAAGAACUCCGAUUGCGAAGGCAGCUUACUGGAUUGUAACUGACGCUGAUGCUCGAAAGUGUGGGUAUCAAACAGGAUUAGAUACCCUGGUAGUCCACACAGUAAACGAUGAAUACUCGCUGUUGGCGAUAUACAGUCAGCGGCCAAGCGAAAGCAUUAAGUAUUCCACCUGGGGAGUACGCCGGCAACGGUGAAACUCAAAGGAAUUGACGGGGGCCCGCACAAGCGGAGGAACAUGUGGUUUAAUUCGAUGAUACGCGAGGAACCUUACCCGGGCUUAAAUUGCAACUGACUGAACCGGAAACGGUUCUUUCUUCGGACAGUUGUGAAGGUGCUGCAUGGUUGUCGUCAGCUCGUGCCGUGAGGUGUCGGCUUAAGUGCCAUAACGAGCGCAACCCUUACGGGUAGUUACCAUCAGGUUAUGCUGGGGACUCUACCCGGACUGCCGUCGUAAGAUGUGAGGAAGGUGGGGAUGACGUCAAAUCAGCACGGCCCUUACGUCCGGGGCUACACACGUGUUACAAUGGGGGGUACAGAAGGCAGCUACACGGCGACGUGGUGCUAAUCCCGAAAGCCUCUCUCAGUUCGGAUUGGAGUCUGCAACCCGACUCCAUGAAGCUGGAUUCGCUAGUAAUCGCGCAUCAGCCACGGCGCGGUGAAUACGUUCCCGGGCCUUGUACACACCGCCCGUCAAGCCAUGAAAGCCGGGGGUACCUGAAGUACGUAACCGCGAGGAGCGUCCUAGGGUAAAACUGGUGACUGGGGCUAAG
This 1434-nucleotide ribosomal RNA is filed under the name uncultured organism. Its description in RNAcentral is "16S ribosomal RNA". It matches the Rfam family "Bacterial small subunit ribosomal RNA". The record is from RNAcentral.